RNAcentral lists this ribosomal RNA (253 nucleotides) under uncultured bacterium. RNAcentral describes it as "partial 16S ribosomal RNA". It matches the Rfam family "Bacterial small subunit ribosomal RNA", at positions 524 to 776 of the family's 1533-position model. The record is from RNAcentral.
UACGGAGGAUCCAAGCGUUAUCCGGAAUCAUUGGGUUUAAAGGGUCCGUAGGCGGUUUGGUAAGUCAGUGGUGAAAGCCCAUCGCUCAACGGUGGAACGGCCAUUGAUACUGCUGAACUUGAAUUAUUAGGAAGUAACUAGAAUAUGUAGUGUAGCGGUGAAAUGCUUAGAGAUUACAUGGAAUACCAAUUGCGAAGGCAGGUUACUACUAAUGGAUUGACGCUGAUGGACGAAAGCGUGGGUAGCGAACAGG